UGAACGAUUAGCCAUGCUAGUUGUACGAGUUGAGACUCGUAGCAGAUAGCUCAGUAACACGUGGCCAAACUACCCUAUCGAGCACGAUACUCUCGGGAAACUGAGGCUAAUAGUGCAUACGACUCGGUGUCUGGAGUGACCCGAGUCAGAAACGCUCAGGCGCGAUAGGAUGUGGCUGCGGCCGAUUAGGUAGACGGUGGGGUAACGGCCCACCGUGCCAAUAAUCGGUACGGGUUGUGAGAGCAAGAGCCCGGAGACGGUAUCUGAGACAAGAUACCGGGCCCUACGGGGCGCAGCAGGCGCGAAACCUUUACACUGCACGCGAGUGCGAUAAGGGGACUCCAAGUGCGAGGGCAUAUAGUCCUCGCUUUUCGUGACCGUAGGAUGGUCACAGAAUAAGUGCUGGGCAAGACCGGUGCCAGCCGCCGCGGUAAUACCGGCAGCACGAGUGAUGACCGCUAUUAUUGGGCCUAAAGCGUCCGUAGCUGGCCACGCAAGUCCAUCGGGAAAUCUCUCCGCUCAACGGAGAGGCGUCCGGUGGAAACUGUGUGGCUUGGGACCGGAAGAUCCAGAGGGUACGUCUGGGGUAGGAGUGAAAUCCCGUAAUCCGAGACGGACCACCGGUGGCGAAAGCGCUCUGGAAAGACGGAUCCGACGGUGAGGGACGAAAGCUCGGGUCACGAACCGGAUUAGAUACCCGGGUAGUCCGAGCUGUAAACGAUGUCUGCUAGGUGUGACACAGGCUACGAGCCUGUGUUGUGCCGUAGGGAAGCCGUGAAGCAGACCGCCUGGGAAGUACGUCUGCAAGGAUGAAACUUAAAGGAAUUGGCGGGGGAGCACUACAACCGGAGGAGCCUGCGGUUUAAUUGGACUCAACGCCGGACAUCUCACCAGCAUCGACAGUGUGCAGUGAAAGUCAGUGUGAUGAGCUUACUGGAGCCACUGAGAGGAGGUGCAUGGCCGCCGUCAGCUCGUACCGU
This 980-nucleotide ribosomal RNA is filed under the name Natrialba sp. IARI-SGAB2. RNAcentral's name for it is "bacterial SSU rRNA". It matches the Rfam family "Archaeal small subunit ribosomal RNA", at positions 37 to 1017 of the family's 1478-position model. RNAcentral also lists the same sequence under 1 other name. The record is from RNAcentral. Lineage: Archaea; Methanobacteriati; Methanobacteriota; Halobacteria; Halobacteriales; Natrialbaceae.